UACGUAGGGCGCAAGCGUUGUCCGGAAUUAUUGGGCGUAAAGAGCUCGUAGGUGGUUUGUCGCGUCUGCCGUGAAAGCCCGGGGCUUAACUCCGGGUCUGUGGUAGAUACGGGCAGACUAGGGGCAGGUAGGGGAGAACGGAAUUCCCGGUGUAGCGGUGAAAUGCGCAGAUAUCGGGAGGAACACCCAGGGGGAAACCAGCCGACUGGGCAUCUGCUGACGCUGAGGUGCGAGAGCGUGGGGAGCGAACCGG
Molecule: ribosomal RNA, 253 nt
Filed under: uncultured bacterium
Lineage: Bacteria
Description: partial 16S ribosomal RNA
Rfam family: Bacterial small subunit ribosomal RNA
Source: RNAcentral